GACGAACGCUGGCGGCGUGCUUAACACAUGCAAGUCGAACGCUGAAGCUCAGCUUUUGUUGGGUGGAUGAGUGGCGAACGGGUGAGUAACACGUGAGUAACCUGCCCCCUUCUUUGGGAUAACGCCCGGAAACGGGUGCUAAUACUGGAUAUUCACUGGUCUUCGCAUGGGGGGUGGUGGAAAGGGUUUUUCUGGUGGGGGAUGGGCUCGCGGCCUAUCAGCUUGUUGGUGGGGUGAUGGCCUACCAAGGCUUUGACGGGUAGCCGGCCUGAGAGGGUGACCGGUCACAUUGGGACUGAGAUACGGCCCAGACUCCGCCGGGAGGCAGCAGUGGGGAAUAUUGCACAAUGGGCGCAAGCCUGAUGCAGCGACGCCGCGUGAGGGAUGGAGGCCUUCGGGUUGUGAACCUCUUUCGCUCAUGGUCAAGCCGCAACAAUGGUUGUGGUGAGGGUAGUGGGUAAAGAAGCGCCGGCUAACUACGUG
RNAcentral lists this ribosomal RNA (483 nucleotides) under uncultured bacterium. RNAcentral's name for it is "partial 16S ribosomal RNA". It matches the Rfam family "Bacterial small subunit ribosomal RNA", at positions 28 to 507 of the family's 1533-position model. The record is from RNAcentral.